CAACACUAGCCAAUUGGGUAAUUAGUUUAUUGAAUGAAUUCAAGUGAUCUCUAAUAUCAGUACUUUCCUCCAUUAUGAGUAGUUUAACUCUUUCUUUAAGUACAAACAGUUUGUUAGUGACUCUGACAAGUACAUACUCUCCAACUUCUUCCACAACAAUUGGUGAUGUCUCCUCCAAAACAUUUUACUUCUCACCAAAGACUAACGUCAAUAUGAUCGUACUUACUACUCUUUGUUGAAAUUACUCCCAAUCAUCAUCCUUGAUGAUUGCCCAUUGUUUCUAGCUCAAAACUUUGACUAAUCCUUAUUGCACGCUUUACCACAAACUAAAAUUAUUUUUUCUAUCAAAAAGCUUCCUCAAAUUUAGUGCUUGUCAUCUUUAGAUUUUUUACAAACCUCGGCCUUAAUAUCAAUUUGUUAAGAAAAUAACUCAUAAUUCAAAGAACACAAAAUUUAAAAUGAUUUAGUAUAAGCCAAAUUUACUUGUAAAUGUUGUAAAGAGAAUUUAAGUAAAAGUGGAGAUUUGUGGUGUAAAGAGAAUUUAAGUCAAAAUAGAGAUUUGUUAUGCGAUGACUUCAAUUCUUAUUUAUUAAGAAUUAAACUCUCCCAUCUAGAAUUUUACUUAGCCUUGAAAAAUAUGGCUAAACCAAACUAUCUUUGAAUUUUCAAAGACUUAACUAUGAAGAAGUUUAACUAAAAAGUGCCUUGAAAAGAAUUAAAAAAUAAAGAAAAUGUAACUGUUGAUAAGUUGCAUGAGUCGAAAAUUCCUUGGCAUCAAACACUAUCGACCCAUGUAUCCAUUUAUAAAGGAGAUUAUUUCUCCAUUUGUGAGAAACCCAAAUUUUGUCAGAAGAUGAAAAGAAAAUUUAAAGAGAAUUUUCUUUGAGGUUUUAGAUGUAAUUCAAUUUGACAGUUUAGAGUGAUUUGUAUGUGAGAAAAAUAUUCAAUACUUAUAAUUAUUUUUUCUCAUAAUAAAAUAUAUAUAUAUAUAUUUAUUUAUAGAGUAAGCUUAUAAUGAACCACUUUAAAUUUUGUAUUCUUUGAAUUGUGAGUUAUUUUCCUAACAGAGAGAUGGUUUAUAUUUCAAACCACGCCAAUACCAAAACUAAGUAAUUUUGGUUUAUUUAUUAAUUUAACAUGCGUAAAAUAG
Molecule: unclassified non-coding RNA, 1150 nt
Filed under: Hevea brasiliensis (rubber tree)
Lineage: Eukaryota; Viridiplantae; Streptophyta; Magnoliopsida; Malpighiales; Euphorbiaceae
Source: RNAcentral